Molecule: ribosomal RNA, 68 nt
Filed under: Phaeomoniella chlamydospora
Lineage: Eukaryota; Fungi; Ascomycota; Eurotiomycetes; Phaeomoniellales; Phaeomoniellaceae
Description: partial 18S ribosomal RNA
Source: RNAcentral
UCUUCAGAGACUGCGGAAGGAUCAUUAUCGAGUCAGGGUCCUCUGGGCCCGAUCUCCAACCCUUUGUU